UCCUUCCCCUCAUUAGCAUGUUGGGCCAGAGUGAACCUGAGCCGGAACUUUCUCUACAUAAGCAGGGCCUCCCGGCGUUUGGAGAGGUGGGCCCAAUCCUUUCAGUUGAAAGAACAGAACUGAGGUUUCCCUGAAGAAGAAAUUCCACUUGUGAACUGUAUGGAUAGCUCUCACCCAAGAGUUUCCAGCCUGGACUUCCUGAUGACCUGCCUGCCAGCCCCCAUAGUCAUGAACAAUGUCCAGUGAGGCAUACAUCAAUCCCUGGAAAAUAGGAUGUUAAUGACCAAGACUAUGCAAGAAGCAAAACAGUUUGACAAGUGAGAGGACAACUAAGGGAUGUGCAAGAAUGUUCCCUCGGGAGGAAGCUAGCUGCCAUGCCACAAGGACACUCAAGCAGCUCAGUGGAGAGGCCCUUGCAGUGAGGAGCUGAGACCUCCAGCCGAUAGUCAUGGGAGUUAAGUCAUCUUGGAAGUAGACUCUUCAGCUACAGUCAAACCUUCAGAUGCCUAUGGCCCUGGCUAACAUUCUGAUUCUAUCCUCAAGAAAGGCCUUAGGCCAGAAGCACUGUUCCCAGAUUCUUGACCCACAGAAAGUAUGAAAUCAUGACUGUUUCUGUGUUAGGCUGCUAAAUUAGAUACCAAUGCAUCCACUUGCCAGAAUUGUGUUGAGGAAUUGAGGACUAAGAGCAUGUAAAGAACUUUGCUAUUAUUUUUGUUAUCUGAGCCAGCAACUAAUGUGGAAAGAUUGUUUCCUAAUCACUUUCUUUUCAUCUCCCUAUCUUGACAUUUCUGUCUGGGUCACUUGUUUUCAGUUAGAAUUUUGUGUCCAGGAUUUUCCACAGCUGAGUACAUAAAUGCUAGAUUUGCUGAAUUUUUGCAUAUCCGCAAAUAUUUUUAUUUUACCCUGACAGGUAAAUGGCAUCUUGGUUGUGCAUUGAAUUUCUAGGGGAGGCCCUUGUCCCUCAGCACUCUUUAAAUGUUAUUCUGCCACCUUCUAGCUUCUCCCAUUUUCUUCUAGUGGAUAAUUAUUCUCCUCUCGUCUAGCAGAUGAUACCUGUCACCAGAUAGUUUUUCCUUUUUGCUUUGUAUAUCAGUUGUUAUUUUUUCCUUAACGUUUGUAAUAUUUCACUGUUAUUUAAAUUUUAGCAUAUAACCAGAUGUGUUUAGGUUGAUAUCUUUUCUUGUCAGUUCUGCAUAGAAGUCAGGAACCUCUUUCAGUAUGCAGCCUUGGGUCUUCAGCUCAGAAUAAAUGCUAUUUUAUCAUUUGUUUAA
This is a long non-coding RNA of Felis catus (domestic cat), 1271 nucleotides long. RefSeq lists it as uncharacterized. Lineage: Eukaryota; Metazoa; Chordata; Mammalia; Carnivora; Felidae. The transcript has 4 exons. The record is from RefSeq and is a predicted model, not a curated record.